This 332-nucleotide long non-coding RNA is filed under the name Salvia miltiorrhiza (redroot sage). RNAcentral describes it as "long non-coding RNA (SMIL_LNC009297)". The record is from RNAcentral. Lineage: Eukaryota; Viridiplantae; Streptophyta; Magnoliopsida; Lamiales; Lamiaceae.
CGGGAGUCAUGGUAAUCUCGUUCACCAUCUAGAGUACCACCACACUCAAACAAUUCCUUAUUAGAUAAAUCAAAGUGAAAAUCAAAAGAUGAAGAUAAAUAAAAGUGAAAGAAGCAAGCCUUCAUAGAAUCGCCCGUGUCGAGGUAAGGAUCGACAAAAUUUUUGACUUUGCAUUCUUUAAAGCUUGUGAAAUCUUCAUCUUUUUGGAAUUGUAGAGGUUGCGUUGGAAAAGUUGGGCUCUCGACUUCAAGGGGUUUGGAGAAUUGAUCCUCAUCUUCUUCAUACUCUUCUUCAACUUCUUGAGGCUCUUCACUUAGCAUCGGCAUUGGUUC